UACGUAGGGUGCGAGCGUUAAUCGGAAUUACUGGGCGUAAAGCGUCCGCAGGUGGCAGUUCAAGUCUGCUGUCAAAGACCGGGGCUCAACCUCGGAAAGGCAGUGGAAACUGAACAGCUAGAGUAUGGUAGGGGCAAAGGGAAUUCCUGGUGUAGCGGUGAAAUGCGUAGAGAUCAGGAAGAACAUCGGUGGCGAAGGCGCUUUGCUGGACCAUAACUGACACUCAGGGACGAAAGCUAGGGGAGCGAAUGGG
This 253-nucleotide ribosomal RNA is filed under the name uncultured bacterium. RNAcentral describes it as "partial 16S ribosomal RNA". It matches the Rfam family "Bacterial small subunit ribosomal RNA", at positions 524 to 776 of the family's 1533-position model. The record is from RNAcentral.